GAUAUAGCAAGAACAGUCACAAAACACACACCUUAGUAUCAAAUUGCUGCCGCAAAACAGGGUAAUCACUUGAUCGCUAUUACGAUUCAUUUUCCGAGAUCAAUAUAUCCAAUGAAUGUUUAAGUGCCGCCCACACCAGGGUGAUACUUUGUCGUUCGUCGUUAAAUCAAUGGAUGUUUAAGUAUCGCACUUUGUCGUUCGUUGUGAGAAUUUGAUUUCGUGAGUUAUCGUGACUGCUGUAUUGAUCACUAACCCAGUUUUGUGUGCAUUAUUAUUAUUUUAGGUUAAACAAGGCUAAAUCAUAUUCUGUCCGUGUUAAAACUGCAAUGUGAGUCAUUCUCUUUUUAUCAAAUGUUUUACAAUACUCCAAAUUAUUUUCAGAAUUAUAAAUUACAGUGACUAAGUUUAUGUAAUCACCAAAUUACAGCCAGUAUGUGGGGUAUUGUGCACAUUACUACUGUUUUUAUCACUUUAGGUGGGCGAACCUAAAAUUUAGUGAUACGUCAUUCAUUGGGGCGGGCAGCCAAUGGUGAUAUGACCACUGUCACAGAUCCGGUCGAGUGACAAAUACUGUGGGUAGUUGGUUGAUAUCAGAAACAUAUGUAAAAGAUCUUAAUACUGUAAAUUAUAAUAAAUGCGUCGUUUUUAGUAAAUAGAAUGAUUCACUCAGUAUUUCCCCGCUGACAAAACCUUUUUCAAACAUGUUUCAGGUGAUCUAUUGUAAUUCAGGAAAAGUGCUGGGAAGCAGUGCAGGCUUAAAAUAGUGGCUCAUUAUAAAAUAAAUACGUUUUGUAAAAAUAAGGAUUUCUCAGUAAAACCUUAUUAUUGUAAAUUAUCGGGAUUUUAUCCCGAGUUGUGAAAUAAAAUAAUCGGGAAAAGUUUUUAGCUUUAAAACGAUCCUGAUGAUAAUAAACUUCCGCUGCUAAAUAAAAUCACAUAAUUAAAUAUCACGGGAUUUCUGUCCCGCGGCUCCUGAAACGGGUCAAACCGGGUCGGGGGCCGUGACAGAAAUGAGGUGGUAUCAGAGCCACUGAGUUAAGCUAAUUAAGUAUUUAAAAGAUACUUAAUUUUUCCUGAUUACUAUUAUGUGAUUAUGUGUUUUAUUAAACUGAUUAUUUGUUAGUUACAGUAUCGGUAAGAAAAAGCUGCAAGAUAUCUAUCUUAAAUUAGAUAGGUCAAUCUAUGAAGAGGGAAGUUCAUCUUCAAAACUCCCUACAAUUCCUGAAGAAGGAAUAUUUGUGCGAAAAGCACAAUAUGAAAAACCGCUUUCUCCUAGAAAAAGGAGUAUGAUUAUUAAGAAAAGUAAAGAGCAAAUCCGAGAAAAGAGGAUUAAAAAGGAAACCCAGGAGUUAAUCAAUAAAUCACUAUAAGAAGAUAAGCUAGAUGAGAAAUGGGCAAAUUUGUAUAUGUUAGCUACAGUAGCAGAACAUGCAAAUCUUUAAAAAACCCUAAGUCUAGUAAUAGCACUUCCCAGUAAAUAAAUAAAUAAAUCCGAGUGUGUUCUUUCCUGUAUUUUGUACAAAUAGUGUGCAAUAAAACUUUGAUGUUUAUUGCAUGAAUGAGAUAUCUGAAGCCUUUCAGAACCUCGAUCUUUACCCGGUGAAUGUAGAAGUUUCCCAAGAUUUCACUGGAUACUUUGCUGAUGUGGAACAACUUGUAGAAUUCCAUGCUCCACCUUUGC
RNAcentral lists this long non-coding RNA (1681 nucleotides) under Helianthus annuus (common sunflower). RNAcentral's name for it is "hypothetical non coding rna". Lineage: Eukaryota; Viridiplantae; Streptophyta; Magnoliopsida; Asterales; Asteraceae. The record is from RNAcentral.